Molecule: ribosomal RNA, 429 nt
Filed under: Bacteroidota bacterium
Lineage: Bacteria; Pseudomonadati; Bacteroidota
Description: Bacteroidetes bacterium partial 16S ribosomal RNA
Rfam family: Bacterial small subunit ribosomal RNA
Source: RNAcentral
UAGGGAAUCUUCCGCAAUGGACGCAAGUCUGACGGAGCAACGCCGCGUGAGUGAAGAAGGAUUUCGGUUCGUAAAACUCUGUUGUUAGAGAAGAACAGCGCAUAGAGUAACUGUUAUGCGUGUGACGGUAUGUAACCAGAAAGCCACGGCUAACUACGUGCCAGCAGCCGCGGUAAUACGUAGGUGGCAAGCGUUGUCCGGAUUUAUUGGGCGUAAAGCGAGCGCAGGCGGUCAAUUAAGUCUGAUGUGAAAGCCCCCGGCUCAACCGGGGAGGGUCAUUGGAAACUGGUUGACUUGAGUGCAGAAGAGGAGAGUGGAAUUCCAUGUGUAGCGGUGAAAUGCGUAGAUAUAUGGAGGAACACCAGUGGCGAAGGCGACUCUCUGGUCUGUAACUGACGCUGAGGUUCGAAAGCGUGGGUAGCAAACAGG